UAGCGUUGCCACACUGUAAUUGCCCCAACGUUUCCUGUCCUGUGGUGCCACACCUCGCGUUUGGUUUACCUUUACCAAUACACCGCCACCGAAGAAGCUUGGGUUGCAGCAUUAUCACCUCACGGCACAGUUGUGGUCAUCCCAACCUGCUGGCACUAUGAGCUCAUCCCAUGGACAGCCUUCAGGUACAAAGUUCAUCACCAAGGAGCUAUGAAAUCACAAGUUGAAGUUUAAUGUGAAUUGAGUUCUCAUACAAUCACCGGCAAGGAGUUUUCAUCACUAUUCCAGCACGUUUAUAUACUGCAGAAAGAAGAGAUAGGAAAAACUGGCCUGGAGAUUGAAUGAGCUGGCCAAGGUUACACCCACAUACUAAGUCAGAUGCAAAGCCACAGUUACAACUGGAGUACCUUCCUGACAGCUUUCUAAGGAGUCUGAGCAGUCAUCCUGUUGACACUCAGGAGUUCCAGAGGAGGAUGAGAGUGGAGAUGCCACGAAAAGCAGCUAUCAACAGAGGGAUCAAGACUGUAUGGUGUCAGUGACUUGCGUACUAAAUGACUUGGAGAUGCUUCAACUGGGAGCCAUGGAAGAUGCUGCAUAUACUUCAAGGAGAUGGUGCUUUGCAUCCCGGAGAGGCUUGCAGGACCAAACACAAGGAACUUUAAUUUUAAAUGGCUGCUUGAAAGUUGAGAUUAAGUAUCUGAACUUGGUAUCAUAUGUCAACUGUCCCAGAAAUAAUUGGAGAUUCUACAAGAGUUGAUUUGGGUGUUCUGGAGUCUGACUGGUUGAGUUCCUUCUAUAGAAGGCCUUGAAGAGCUGUCACUUGGAAGAGGUGCAAGCCAGAGGACUGGAAAGCACACGGACUCAUUGUGGAGCACGGCUUCCAGAUGUGCCAUCCCUACAGGUAUUUGUAAUCGUGCUAGAUGUCCAUCUGCGCCUUUAGGUAAGCACACAGAUAUUUCCACAAGUCUGGUCUUGUGCUACUUUGGUAGUUCUUUUGAAAGUCGCACCCAACAUUAAAAAGAGGUCGAUGUAGGAGAUUAAGAUAAAUGCACAAAACACUUUCAUUUUCUUUAUUUUCAAUCGAUACUGUAUGAAUACAAAGUUUCUAGAAAGCUACAAAAAUUCUACCACUUUAUCAAGAAGGCAUCAAAAUGUGUCACUUUGCAAAGACAUGAAAACACCUGCAGUAACCGACACAAAAAUAGCAUUUUUAGAGUGAUGAAAUAAUUGCACUUAACUGUCAUGGAUAUUAAAGUUAUCACACAUAUGUACCGCGAAAGCUAGAAUACAUUUUUUUUUUUUACAAAGCACUUUAUAAAAAAAUUCUCUGCACACAAAACCUAUAAUUUUCAUAUUACUAUCAUACUAAAGAUAAAUUCACUUUAAAGCCAACACUUAAAACAUUUUAAACAAAAAAAGGUACCAGUACCUACACACAGACAAUAACAAAUACAAAGAAUACUGUACUGCCAAGAGGUUUGACUGAAACUCCUUUUGAAAGCUUCUGCAAAUAUGUUAAGAAAACAUUGGAGAAUGUUCACUUUUUUUUUUUCAAAGAGCCUUCCCUCCCUGUCUAACCUAGAGGUACUUUAUCAUCAAAAGGCAAGUUCUACAUCAAAAGUUACCAGCAGCAGUACAAUAUUAAAGUAACCACUGACCAUAUAUGAAUAUGCUUAAGUCACAAACCCAUUUUAUACACAUUACACAAAUAAACAUAAAGUGAGAAUUCCAUUAAGUCAUUUACAAAUGUGAACAAAUGCACAUGGCCAAAAAAAAAAAAUAAUCCAAACAAAACAAAACCCCAACCUGUUUUACAUAAAAUGUACUGAAGAAUUAAAGGCUAUUCAGGUUUUCAAUGUUAUAAAAUUCUCUUGUCUUUCUUUUUCAGGCACAUAUUGUAUUUUUUGUCUGCAGUCAUGAGCCUGAAUCAAAGAGGCCCAUAAAACAAAACAAAAACAAAAACACGUAUUCUGAAAGGAGGUAACAGGGAUCUGUCUCCUUUUUGUCAACUGAGUGCAUUUAAGAUUUAAUUUACAUGCUAAACUAAUUACAUGAUCUCAGCAAGAAUGACCUGAAAAGUUAAAAGAUGAAGAUCUCCAAAGUGUGUUUUGUACUUUGAAUUAUCCAGCCUUGAUCUUUUUUUAGGGGGCUAAGCAUCGUGUUAUGAAAGAUAGGAGGGGGGAAAAGAGAUCAUCCUGAGAAAAGUACAAAACGGGACUCUGUUAUCACAUCUGCUGUUUGACCAGGUAUGUGGAUCGGUAUGGGUCAAGCAAAGAAUAGAGAAAACAUUUCUCAAUAUGAAUGAUCCAGGAAAACUGUAAGGGGAACCGCUUCCAAAGCAAGUAUGCUCUAGGAGCUGCAGUGGAAAAAUAAAUAGAUAUGGAUUAGUAUGUCAAAUGUUGUAUCUGCCUUGAACUGGCCAGUUACUUACAUUCAACAGUAAUGUACACCCUUCAUUACUUAAAAUAGCCUACACCGUGGAGGUUUUAACGGAAGAAGCUACUGCCAACCUCACUGAGCUGUAGCUGCAGUAGAAAGAGAAAGCGAGAAACAGGCAUUACAUCUGCAAUUCCUUCAAAAUAGUGGUGCAGUACCUAAAUAAAGUCAUUUUGGAAUUCAAGUAAGUAAAACUACACUUGCUAGUAGCGAUUUUUAACAGCCCCAAAUGGUACCAUUAUGCUUGUUUUAAUGAGACAGAAGUGUACUUUACCACAAAUACGGAUUAGUAAGACUGAAAUGUUUGGUAGUAACUGAAAAUAUAUGCUCUACUUGCAGGGCGAAAUCGUCUUUGCCCUACCUCGGUCUCAUCGAAUUCAACAGGAUUACUUGUCUUACAGAGAAACAGGGGAGGGAAAAGGGAGUUUGAUAGUGACAACAAUAGCGACAACAGUGGCAGUGGAGAACCCCAAAGAAAGCACCUGCAGAAAUCAUUGAAGUAGAAACCUUACGGAAGCAACAAUUUCUUCAGACUUCCAACAACAAAAGAGAAGACGGUAUUUCUCUUAGCUACAGGUGACCUUUCUAGUCUGGCAGAGAGAGGAAGUCUUUUUCCUUUCUUAAAACAAUGAAAUCAUUGCUACAAAGGAAGAUGGCUGUGCAACUUGGGAAUCGAUCUCUAAUAAACUCUGUCAAGCCAUAUGGCCCCAAUUCAGCAAGCUGUUUAACUUCACUGAGCUGUACGACGCAGUUCCCAGGAUUCACGUUAUCUGUGUACUUACUGAGCCGUGCCUACUGGACCAAUAAAAUAGUACUGAAAGUAUUUGAUUUCUUUCAGUAUUUCUCUGCAGCCUGAACAACUACCCAGCCUGAAUAACCACCCUACCCCACCUAGCACCAGAGACUGAGACAUGCAGGAUCAAGUGAGGAACUGUGCUACCUUUAAUUAUUUAUGUCUGAGUCUUGUGCACAGCGUGAUUCAUUUGGUUACCAAGCAAAAGCACAGGUCACAUGCUGAAUCUCGCCUCCCCAGGCCUGCAGCAGAACUGAAGCUUUUCUGUCACAGUCCUCUCUGUCAUCAUGAAACCAUUUUCACAAGCCCUCAACUUGAAAGAGCACUAAUAUGGAUAUAGGCAGAGACUAGAGAUAUCCACAGCUGGAUUUGUUGAUUCAGGUAUUAGUGCUGCUGACAUCUUCGGUGCCCGAGGUGAGAGUGGGCAGGGUUCUCUUUUUAUGUGGAAACAGCUGACCAGCUACUGUGACAUAACAUUUAGGAAAUCACACGAGCUUAAAGCUACUCUGAGACAAGCAUUUUAUCACGGAAAUACACUAAUGCAGCAGUUUCACUUGCAAUUCUAGCUUGACUUGUUCUUACUGCUUUUUAUUGCUAAAACAAACAACAAACACAAAACGUUUGAAAAAUGUCUUCUUGUCUACCUGGAGACUUUUUAAAAAUGCAUUUAUUUACUAGCUAUCGUGGAACAUUCAUAAUUCGGCCUUCGCUGGAUUUCAGGUCGUUUGUAACUGCUCUUUAAUGUUUAACUAGGCAACAGCUCAUUAAUUCUACUUAGUGUCUACAAUCCAUACUUGUGGUACAACCUUCUGAGGCAAUAUGCUGAUAAUAGCAAUACCGAGCUAGUUUGUGGCAUGGAGAAGACAUGGGUCUAAUAUUAUUUCAGGCUAGCUUUGGUAAAUUAAUCAGUGGAGAAGUCUCCAGAGGUUUAUACGCAGUAACACAAAGAGCCUUAUAGUCACGUCUUUUGCAUAACAGAACGAAAUCCUAUCACUAUUGCACUUCGUUUCUUGCACAUGUAUUGCACGAGGUCAGCAGUUAGCAUUUAAUGUACAGCUAAAGCAGUAUUCACAGCACUCUGUCAUAAAUUGUUCCAAGCUAACGGUAAAUGAGCAAUUUGUCAUCACAGCUGGUUUGCAGUUACAUCUAAAUACGAAAAACUGUAGCAGCCAUCAGCCACCUCACAGUUGCUCUGCUGGAAUUUCUGAAGAGUAAGUAAGUAUUUCUGAUAAAACAAUUAUACUGUUGUGAACUAUCCCAUUUUCUUAAAAAGCGGUUAUUUCUGUUGCUACUGCAAUUACAGUUCUACUAUACAAUGAUUUUUCUUUCCCUUUCGGGUAUUAGAAAUACAUUUAGUAAUUGCAAACAAAAUGCUCCUCACAAAAGGAUCAACCACAUAGACCUUACAUUGCAAGCUGCCGUAAGAACUACUUACAGAGAUUAAAAAAUAACUUUUCAUCUGUUUCUUUCUUAUUUUGAAGCCCACUGAAAAAAAUACACUUGACAUUUAACCUGGAAAGUAACACAUGGCCAUCUGGCACACUGUUGAUCACUCCCACAAGCGCUUCCAACUCUGGCUGAAAUCACCAGGAGUCCUGUAUACACCAAAAAUAGACACUGAGGCUCUGAAGACUGAAUGAGGAACACUUGAAAUUAUCGCUCAACUGUCGUGACUUACUCUUGCACAAUCACAACACUGUUGCAAAAAAAAAAUCUUACGGUUCUAAAACAGACAUAAGCGAUCUGUAUUUGCACUUUGAUUAGGGAGUCGAGCAUGCAAAGGAAGUGUUUUCAAUGGAAAUAUGACUUUUAAACAAUAGUUUUAAUGUUUAACUAACUACCAGCUGCUGAGCACUGAAGCUUUAAGACUCCUCCAAAAAGUGUAACACCAACAUAAAAACAUUUAAGAGUUGGCAUCAGCAAAUAGUCCUGAAUGAAAACCUUCUCGUGACAAAAGAAUUUGCUCUAGUCUCGCAUACUAAAAAGACAUUGCACUUCAACAUGGGCUCAAAUCUUUUUGCUAGAGGAUGAGUACAUGAACACUAUGAAGGAGCAGGUACCGUUAUGAAGAGGGGAUUGUCACUUCAAGGAAGUAGUCUGAGUCAGCAUGGAAAAUAAGUCAAAUUCCAGAUUACCUUUUUAUCUUCGUUACCCUUUUUCCUUCUUUUCAAGAGAAGGAAAGACGAUCACUACUGGUAAAAUACAAAGCUCUGGUUAUAAGAAUUAUAAGAAAUAUCGGCAAAGGACUUGUUAAAUAUACUGGUAUGGCUUCCAUACCAGUACCAGGAAGCGGUGCAAUUAAUCAUACAACUGACAAGUGAAGAUGUAUCUCUCAAACUGAAGAAAGCAGGUCACAGUUAAAAAGACAAUGAUGGUACUCCCCUCCUCCCUCCCCCCCCCCCCCCCCCCCAAAAAAAAUUGUGAAAAAAGAGACCUGCUGUGGCUAUGAGAGUUGCAGAUGUAGUUCUGAGUGGGAGAACAGCCACAUGCUACCUACGUAUUCAGUUUUAGCAGGCUCCUUGCUAAAAUACUGACUCUAGUUUUUGUGUCCACAUUUUAGAAAGGAUGUAGGAAAAUUGGAAAAGGUUCAGAAAAGAGUUAUAAGAAUGAUUUCAGGUCUGGAAAACAUCCUUUGUAGUGAAUGACUAAUGAAACUCCAUCUACUUAGUUUUUCCAAGAGAAGUUUUUCCACGACUUUGUCAUAGCCUACAAGUUGCUACAUGGGGAAGAGUCUUCUGACAGAUUAAAUCUUGCACGAAAGGACAUUAAAAGACAAAAAGCUAAAGCUACACAGAAGCCAAAUGAAAAACAAGGCAGAUGCCAAUACCCCUGAUGGCAAUAAAAUGCUGGAAUAAUUCUCAAAUACGGUAAAGUCACCAUUUCUUAGAGAUUUUUUUAAACCAGCCUAAAUAUCUAACUAUCGUGGAUGCUCUAGCUCAAGUUGGCCUAUUGUAUGGACGCAGAAAUUACUUAGGUUCACUGCCUGUCUUACAGAGAGGAGAGGGAAGACCAGAUAAACGUAAUACUUCCAAAACCAACAUCUCUGACUUCAUCUUAUUAACCUCAGUUAACCUUCUUAUAAUUUCCUUCUCCAAUGAGUCCAGUGAAAAACUGGACAACAGUCAAGCUGGAGCACUGUACCUGCAGCCUCUUGUGAGAACCAGCUUUGUCUCGUCUUUCCUUGGUACUCUCCAUCUUUCUUCACUUUCAAUUCAGACUUAAAAUUGCAAGGCUUCCUGGGCUGUAAACCAUCUUUCCUGGCUGCAGGGAUUAGGGUUGGUGAGCGCUAGUGUAGCAUAUACAGAUAAAUAACUUUUAGAAUGGAGCCAUGAUCGAUCACACGUGAUGAACAGGAGUCCAGUUACUCACUGAAAAAUUCUCAUUUAAAUAAUGAUUUAAAAUAUAAGAUCAGUACAAUCUAGGGGAAAAAGAAAACCCAGUAACUUAAAACCAUAAACGUUGUUGGUUUCUUGGUGGGUUUUGUUCGUCCGUUUUUUUUUAAUGUGGCAAUUUUCAAAAGUAAAACUAAUCUUGAUUAUUUCUAAGAGCUGAGCUCUGCAUUCGCUGAAUGCAUUGUGAGGCAAAAGCGCUCAGCUUUCUGGCACCCUUUUGACGUGGUUGUUUAAGAACACGAUUAAUUCAUUAACACAACAUAGCGUGUCAAAGGAUAGCACUGAAAAUAUUACGCAUUAAGAGUACCAAGUGUUUCACACACUGCUUGGAGAUGCCUCUGCCAGCCUGCCAGAGCAAGCACCAAAACAGAGCUAGCUGCAACCAAAAUAAAGAGGAAAAAUACUAGAAAAUAAUCAAACGGCAAAAUACUUCCCAUCCACCUCCCAAGUGCUCUCAGGCUGUGUUAAAGACAGGGCACAGAGUGCUUCUGUAAUAAUAACAGCUUUGGCUAACAAAAAAGCAACUCUAGCAAAAAUUACCGAGUCUAAAUUCUUUCUGCUGAGUAGAAGGAAAACAGCACCUAUUGGAAACAGUGGGAUCUGGGGAGGGCCAGAAUAAUCUACGCUGGCAUUCAGUAGUUAACAUUAAGCACAUAAGGUCAUUUGUUAACGACAUACAGGUUUGAACGACUGCUGACUGCAGGGAGGUGUGUUACUCAUAUGACCGCAUUGUGCCUCCCCUCCUCCUCUCCAUAGAGUGAUCAAAGAGCAGAGAUUCCAAAUUGUGAAGCAAUUUUUUCCAAGGGGAGCAUCUGGGGCGCUGGCACGUUUCAGCGUGUGUUACGCUGCAGCUCAGGAAUUGCGUCCAGGUCUGCCACAUGGUUGGGCUCGUGAUGGACAGACCAAGCUGCUCCGGCUCCCCAGCUGCUCGGCCCCUUCCACUCAUUACCCAGGCUCAAGCACUAAUGCCCUCACAUCAAUUGCUGAAGGGGUCCUCCACAAGUGCCACGUGAGUUCCCUGCACCGAUGGGGCUGUGAUGUGGAAAAGAAAAUGGAUGUCUGCUUUCUUACAUAUCUAAUUUCUUUUGCAUACAUUUGCAUGCUGGCCAUAGCCCCAUUCACGUUACAGCCCCCAUUUGUGAGCCACAGAUCAUUUGCCAGUCAAAGCUGGCGAGCGUGCGUGCGUGUGUUCGUGUGGAUGGAGGGAAAUCCAAGACUGUGUAUGAGAAAUUGCAUGUAAAAAUAGCAAGAAAAAAAAAACAGGCAGUAGCCACAAUUGUGUGUGGAUGAAGGGCACAAAGAAUGGCUGCACCUUUUAAGACUGCUGGAGGCGCAUGGGGACACAUUCAGGAGGGGGUGGCAAGCCAUUUCUGAACACUGAUUACAUGGGUAAAUUGUUUGUUCCACUGUAUCACAAAGAGAAGGAGCAUUAUUUUUCAUGCCGCAGCUGUUUUGAAUAAGAAUAGGAAUAAACUUAGCCAUCCUCCUCAUGUUACUUACCACUAAUUAUGGCAUAUAUUUACAUCUAUAAAACAGUGAAAUUUGGGGGACAUAAUUUAAUGCCCCUUUAUUGUGUAGAUCCCUUUAUUCCAUCCCGCAUUUGAAUUUCAAAAAUGUUUAGGACUUCAAAGCAUCUUUAAAAGCUUGCCCUAAUUAUAAUAUGCAUUACUUUCAAAAACUCCUAGUUUGCAUUGCAGAUUCCUGCAAAUAGAGGCAUUCAUUUUAAACAUCAAUUAAUAUCAUCCACACAUCUUCAGAUGAGCUUUAGUCUUUCUUUCAGAGUUUCGCCGGGCUCUAACUAAGCUUCCUUCAGUUUGAAGAAUAGUUCAAGCUCUUGCAAACACUUAAAAAAUUAAGUCAGUUGCUCCGAACGGCGGAAAGCCUGAAAACCCAAUAUUAAUUUAUAUCAGCUGCUUUUUUCACGCGUCACUAUUUUGAAAAUGUCCCGCCACCUUUUAGAUAGAUUUGCUGCCCACAUCUAUGCCUGGAGCUGCAGAAAUCAGAGUUUAGCUUGGCACAGAGCCUCUGUCAGUGUCGAGAUACACAAAAUCCACGGCCACAGCACUGAAAGUUGUGCUCACACCAGCAACAAGGAUCCCAGCAGAGGCACGGAGCCCUCUGCGUGAGGCCUGCAGGCAACAGAAGGCGUGUAAUCAGAGAGAAGGGCAAAAUGCGACAGAACAACAGCUACCUAAAACAGAAGAUGAAUUCAGCCUAGGCUGCAACAGUCAGGAAAAACUGAAAGGCAACCGUGCUGCUGAGAAUCCUCAAGAAGAGCUACAAGGGGAAGAGCAAGAGGAGUACUCUUCCCAGCUACCAGAGCUAAGCUACUUUCUGUAUUGGUCAUCCUCAGUGCGAGUGUUCCUUUCUGGUCUUCCUGUUUCCCAUCCUUCUUUUGCACACUAGAUUCCAUGUCUAAACAAAACAUCCUUUCUGUCACCUCCAGGGACAGGCUGACCUUUCUUUAAAUCUUUUUACAGGCUCACCAUCCCUUCUGGCAUCACAUCCACACCUUCACUUUCACAAUUCCACAAGCAACAACAUCCAACUGCUUUCCUGCUCCGGUUUCCCAUGAUUCCUUUUACUCAUAGCCCCUGGUUUUCUUUUGCUGAGAUCCCUUGCAGUGCUUUCCCACCUGUAUUAUUUACCCAGUAGAACUUCAUAUUCCUCUUUUACUCACAUUACAAUCAAAUCCCACCAAAGCCCAGACUGUCACUGAACACUGGCUUACACCACUGAGCAAACUGUCAGUGGCUAAAUAGCAAUAAAGGGAGAAGACAACAAAAAUGAUGGGAAGUGAGAAACAGCUAAACAAGGGGUAAGGGAAUAUAUUGUGAUUAAGCAAUGAACAGAACCUGGGAGAAGUUGAACUUUUCAGAGUAGGAGGUGGUAGUGGAUGAGACGCAGACAGCGGAUACUGCUUCAGAAGUGGAUACUGAAUUUAAAAGAAAGGACAAGAAUACAGAAUGUAAUCUAUUUUUACAUUAAUACACUGGAAAUUACUAUCAGGGUCCAAGAGAUUGUCAACAACCUUUGCAAGAUAUAUACUGGUAACAGAUGACUGGUUUAGAACAGUUUCUAAAGGCUCCCCUCAAAAAUGGCAAGUGUCUUAUUUUUUCUGAAGAAAUGUCCCAUUGGGGUGAAAGAAAUUAAAUAAAAGACAGUGAGCUGACAAUUUAGGAUCUAGUUCUCAUGACUCACCACGGCCAUCUUCUAUUUUUCCUGUACGUAUAUUUCUAGCUGUGGGGGCACUGGCGUGAAGUCUAUUCCUAGAGGAGCAUUCAUCAUCACGCUUGCUACACCCGAACAGUGCCCCUGGCACCCUCCCUCUGCCUUUGCACGCCCAACAAGAAAGAAAAUCCACUGGCCUAUUUUAAGACCAUGGCUUAUGAAGGCAUUCCCAUCGCAUUUUUAAUAUAUAACUCAGCAGGAUGUUUAGCACUGUGCGUUUUUUAAUCUCUACAUUAAUACAACACGAAAUUGUAUUAAAAGACCAUGAAGUUGGACAGCACUGCGAAGUUAGGAGAUGUUGGACUGAAGGUUCCCACACACCCUGACUGCUGAACUGCAUCACAGAGUCUUUACUUACACAACCACACACUCACCCACUGAGCAGCUAUACAAUAUUUUUCAUUAUUUUCAUUAUUCAGUGUGUCUAAGUCCCUGUCUCCUGCACACUAUUCAAAACCUGUGCUGAACUUAGAAUUAUUAAAAUUUUCCUAAUGGCAUUUUUUAAACAGAUGUCAGUGAGUUUGAUUUCUCAGUGAUGACCUGAGGUGAAGAGAUGGCAUCACCCUAAUUCUUUGAAAUUGAGGCAAGAGCAUUAAAGCUGAGCAAUGCUCAUAGGAGGUCAAGCAUUGAAAGCUGGUACCCUGAAGUUCUCAGUAAUGAGUACAGCACUGACCUUAAUGAUACAAGGAAGAUCUCUACUGGUUUUAGAUGCAUCUUUGAGCAUUCAACGUACCUGAAAAUCAAUUUUCACAUGGAGAAACAACAGAAAAUACUGCACAUCAGUGAAUACAACACAAAUCUUUGCUGCUCCCAUGCCCGAUGUAGUCUAAGGCUUACAAUCAUAGAAUCAUUUGAGUUGAAAGAAACCUCCAAAGGCCCUCUAGUCCGACUGCCCUGUAAUGAACAGGGACAUACGCAGCUAGAUCAGGCUGGUCAUUCUCAUGCAACUGAGAACAGGCAGGUGGGGUGAAGUUCAUUCUGUCAGUGGGUUUCGCAAGUAUUUAUUAAGCAAAGUGGGUUGAUGAGAUGAUGGGCCUUUGUUCAAGCCCAAGUUUUGCAAGGAAAUGAACUCAGUGCUUAUAGGCCAUAAUUCCAAGUGCUGUUUCUCUGCAGCCAUCUUCCUUUUGUCCUUAUGCUUGUCCUGUUCCCAACCCUCAUGCAGGUGUCUCUACUGUGUGCUGUUAUCCUACAUUCCCCCAGAGACUCCUUACCACAAAUGCUCCCACUUCCCACUCUUUAUCCCUUUUUAACUCUAUGUUCUCACCUGCCAAAAGGCAGGCUCCUGGUUUCUGGUGUAUUUCAGCUUCCAGUUCUCUGCUGCCACCUGUUUCUGGCCUCUUUGCUCAGGCAGCCCUCAAACACUCAGUCUAUGGCUCCCAUUUCUAGUUUUAAGUUCCAUAAAUUUCUCAAUGGAUUUCUUCUGCGGUACAGCACAGCUCCUACUCAGUGGUUUCUCUCUUCUGCACUCAGAUUUGAGAGAAGAGUCUCCUUCAUUCUCAGUUCCCAUAUUUGGUGCCACAGAAACUUUUGGCAAGAUGCGACAUCUUGGGUACAUAGAGAUUGGAGAAUAUUUCAGAUCACACAGACUAACUUCAACAGAAAAAGACAAAUGCCAUGAGACGUAUCUUAAACAGCGCUUCCAGAUCAACCUUUUCUAAUGUCAGCAACAAUCUCUCCACUCUGUAAUUAGUCCCUGAAUAUGCCCCUUUCACUGAGACUUUAAAAGACAAAUUUUAAAUAUUUGGAGGAUAACUGCUGGUACGAAGAGGAGCCUAUCACAAACAAACAACAAAUCCAUGCAAAGAAAAAGUGUAAGCAUAAAUAAGGUCUACCCUUGAGAUUUGGUGAUCCUUUUGCACGAACCUAUAACAUCACCAUAUUGUUUUGCAAAUGCAACAAAUUAGACCUGGUGCAUUGGUGAAAUUUACUAAAACUAGACCAACAGAUUUUCCAACAUCUCAGCUUUCCAUUCAAAUUCUGUUUUCACUCCUGCUUGCAACUCAUAUGAGCAGAUAGAACUGUUGGAGCAGAGUCCCACAGCUCACCAACAAGCAGGCAAGGGGAAAGCACAUGUGCUCUAGCAACCAAAAAAACAUUUAAGAAAAACCCUGAAGCUCUCACAAGCUCAUGAUCAGCCCAAAGCACACCUGAACCAAGUCCUUCUUGGUCCUAUUUGCUAAGUGCAGGCUGAUCCUUGCAUUAUGUGCAUUUGACAAGAGUUAUCCAUAACAAACAGUAAAAGCAGUCUCUAUUUCACAGCUUCCUUGGUUGUUCUCAGACCACUAGAUGGCAGUUCUCCAUUUGUAAACAAGUGCUCUGUUACCUGUUUGCUUCUGCUCAGCAGCUGUGUCGAGCACAGCUGAGGCAUGCAUCUGCCCCUGCAUGUCAUCUGCAACACAGACUUGUGUUGCUGCCAGCAAGAGUGGCUCCGGGACAGCACCCUACCAGAAGGAUAUACAGCUUAUAUAUGCUUUUAGAUGAGAAAAGACAUUUCCACAAGCACCCCAAAGCUAAGCACUAAACACAGGCCACACUGCCAAGA
Numida meleagris (helmeted guineafowl) is the source of this 12394-nucleotide long non-coding RNA. RefSeq lists it as uncharacterized. NCBI's taxonomy places the organism in Eukaryota, Metazoa, Chordata, Aves, Galliformes, Numididae. The transcript has 8 exons. The record is from RefSeq and is a predicted model, not a curated record.